Molecule: ribosomal RNA, 404 nt
Filed under: Verrucomicrobiota bacterium
Lineage: Bacteria; Pseudomonadati; Verrucomicrobiota
Description: Verrucomicrobia bacterium partial 16S ribosomal RNA
Rfam family: Bacterial small subunit ribosomal RNA
Source: RNAcentral
UGGGGAAUAUUGCACAAUGGGGGAAACCCUGAUGCAGCGACGCCGCGUGAGCGAUGAAGGCUUUCGAGUCGUAAAGCUCUGUCCUAUGGGAAGAUAAUGACGGUACCAUAGAAGAAAGCCCCGGCUACUUACGUGCCAGCAGCCGCGGUAAUACGUAAGGGGCGAGCGUUGUCCGGAAUUAUUGGGCGUAAAGAGUGCGUAGGCGGCAAAUUAAGUCAGAUUUGAAAACUAAGGGCUCAACCCAUAGAUUGCAUCUGAAACUGAUAUGCUUGAGUCAAGGAGAGGAAAGUGGAAUUCCUAGUGUAGCGGUGGAAUGCGUAGAUAUUAGGAGGAAUACCGGUGGCGAAGGCGGCUUUCUGGACUUGAACUGACGCUGAGGGACGAAAGCGUGGGGAGCAAACAGG